GGGGACGUGGCGGAAUUUGGCAGACGCGCAUGGCUUAGGACCAUGUGCCUCACGGCGUGCGGGUUCGAGUCCCGCCGUCCCCA
Molecule: transfer RNA, 83 nt
Filed under: Chloroflexota bacterium
Lineage: Bacteria; Bacillati; Chloroflexota
Also listed under: 2 other names
Description: Chloroflexi bacterium tRNA-Leu
Rfam family: tRNA
About the family: Transfer RNA (tRNA) molecules are approximately 80 nucleotides in length.
Source: RNAcentral